UACGAGGGGGGCAAGCGUUGUUCGGAAUUAUUGGGCGUAAAGGGCGCGUAGGCGGUGCGGUAAGUCACCUGUGAAAACUCUGGGCUCAACUCAGAGCCUGCAGGCGAAACUGCCGUGCUUGAGUGUGGGAGAGGUGCGUGGAAUUCCCGGUGUAGCGGUGAAAUGCGUAGAUAUCGAGAGGAACACCUGCGGCGAAGGCGGGUUGCUGGGCCGACACUGACGCUGAUGCGCGAAAGCCAGGGGAGCGAACGGG
This 253-nucleotide ribosomal RNA is filed under the name uncultured bacterium. Its description in RNAcentral is "partial 16S ribosomal RNA". It matches the Rfam family "Bacterial small subunit ribosomal RNA", at positions 524 to 776 of the family's 1533-position model. The record is from RNAcentral.